RNAcentral lists this transfer RNA (75 nucleotides) under Candidatus Bathyarchaeota archaeon. RNAcentral's name for it is "tRNA-Thr". It matches the Rfam family "tRNA". From Rfam's summary of the family: Transfer RNA (tRNA) molecules are approximately 80 nucleotides in length. Their secondary structure includes four short double-helical elements and three loops (D, anti-codon, and T loops). RNAcentral also lists the same sequence under 1 other name. The record is from RNAcentral. Lineage: Archaea; Thermoproteati; Candidatus Bathyarchaeota.
GGUCCGGUGGCUCAGCCUGGUUAGGGCACCAGCUUGGUAAGCUGGGGGUCGCGGGUUCAAAUCCCGCCCGGACCU